Molecule: ribosomal RNA, 399 nt
Filed under: uncultured bacterium
Lineage: Bacteria
Description: bacterial SSU rRNA
Rfam family: Bacterial small subunit ribosomal RNA
Source: RNAcentral
GAGCGCUCGUAGCAAUACGGGAGCGGCAGACGGGAGAGUAACACGUGGGAACGUACCCUUCGGUUCGGAAUAACCCAGGGAAACUUGGGCUAAUACCGGAUACGUCCGAAAGGAGAAAGAUUUAUCGCCGAAGGAUCGGCCCGCGCCCGAUUAGCUAGUUGGUGGGGUAAUGGCUCACCAAGGCGACGAUCGGUAGCUGGUCUGAGAGGAUGAUCAGCCUCACUGGGACUGAGACACGGCCCAGACUCCUACGGGAGGCAGCAGUGGGGAAUAUUGGACAAUGGGCGCAAGCCUGAUCCAGCCAUGCCGCGUGGGUGAUGAAGGCCUUAGGGUUGUAAAGCCCUUUCGGCGGGGAAGAUAAUGACGGUACCCGCAGAAGAAGCCCCGGCUAACUUCGUG